GGUCGCGUAGCUCAGUGGUAGAGCACUACCUUGACAUGGUAGGGGUCGCUGGUUCAAAUCCAGUCGUGGCCACCA
This 75-nucleotide transfer RNA is filed under the name Helicobacter suis. Its description in RNAcentral is "tRNA-Val". It matches the Rfam family "tRNA". Rfam says of the family: Transfer RNA (tRNA) molecules are approximately 80 nucleotides in length. Their secondary structure includes four short double-helical elements and three loops (D, anti-codon, and T loops). The record is from RNAcentral. Lineage: Bacteria; Pseudomonadati; Campylobacterota; Epsilonproteobacteria; Campylobacterales; Helicobacteraceae. RNAcentral also lists the same sequence under 2 other names.